UGGGGAAUAUUGGACAAUGGGCGCAAGCCUGAUCCAGCCAUGCCGCGUGGGUGAGGAAGGCCCUAGGGUUGUAAACCCCUUUCAGCGGGGAAGAUAAUGACGGUACCCGCAGAAGAAGCCCCGGCUAACUCCGUGCCAGCAGCCGCGGUGAUACGAAGGGGGCUAGCGUUGUUCGGAAUUACUGGGCGUAAAGCGCGCGUAGGCGGAUUGAUCAGUCAGGGGUGAAAUCCCGGGGCUCAACCCCGGAACCGCCUUUGAUACUGUCAAUCUAGAGUUCGAGAGAGGUGAGUGGAAUUCCGAGUGUAGAGGUGAAAUUCGUAGAUAUUCGGAGGAACACCAGUGGCGAAGGCGGCUCACUGGCUCGAUACUGACGCUGAGGUGCGAAAGUGUGGGGAGCAAACAGGAUUAGAUACC
This 414-nucleotide ribosomal RNA is filed under the name uncultured prokaryote. RNAcentral's name for it is "bacterial SSU rRNA". It matches the Rfam family "Bacterial small subunit ribosomal RNA", at positions 355 to 786 of the family's 1533-position model. The record is from RNAcentral.